GUGACCUCUGGUUGGUUGAGCCAUGUUUUCUCCUCUCUAGCCUUUACAAGAUUCAUGUUCUGUUCCAGUUCCACAGCAGAAAGUCAACUUCGAUCUCCAAACGUCAUUUCCCCUUCUCAUUUUUCUGCUAUUUCCCCAUUCUGUAGAAGGCUGCUGUGCAGAGGGUGUGAGAGGGCUGAGGAUGAGAAUACAGCUCAUUAGUUCUCCCCGGUUCUUUCCUUCAACCAGCAUCUCUUUCCUUCUUUUCAACUCAGUCUUUCCUUUUCACUGUUUUUCUUUACACCUCUCCUUAGGUGCUGCUAGAGAAGUCCCCUGGUUUUCCAAUGGGUUCCCCUGCCUUUACCUCUAAUCAACAGGCAUUUUGCACUUGUCUCAAACGCAAGCAUCGCAACAAAGUGAGAUGUCAGGCAUUGAGAAAACAUGGAAUGUGUCUGUAAAGGUUAAGGAGAAAGAGACCUGACUUUCCCCUCUUUAUUUCUUUCAGAAUAUGAGAUGUGUCCGAUCUGAGAGGGAGUAAUCACCAUGGAAUCAAUCUGAAGAACAUGAUUAGGCUGGAGAGAGAGAUGGAGAGAGAGAUGGAGAGAGAUGAGAUGGGAACAGGGAGAGAGAUGGAGGGAGGGAGGGAGUAAUAAAGACAGAGAGGGAGAGAGAUGAGAUGG
RNAcentral lists this long non-coding RNA (659 nucleotides) under Salmo salar (Atlantic salmon). RNAcentral's name for it is "lncRNA (ENSSSAG00000113712.1)". Lineage: Eukaryota; Metazoa; Chordata; Actinopteri; Salmoniformes; Salmonidae. The record is from RNAcentral.